Larimichthys crocea (large yellow croaker) is the source of this 143-nucleotide small nucleolar RNA. Lineage: Eukaryota; Metazoa; Chordata; Actinopteri; Sciaenidae. The record is from Ensembl.
UGACGUCGGUUCCUCCUCCUGUGUGAAGUCCGUCAGGAGGAUUUUACGACGUCGCACAGCGACUCGGGUCUUUUUCACCCAGAAUGCCUCGGGCCACAGCGCCCACGUCACGUGGCUUCCUGGUUUUGCGAGACCCAACAAAC